CCUACGGGUGGCAGCAGUAGGGAAUAUUGCUCAAUGGGGGAAACCCUGAAGCAGCAACGCCGCGUGGAGGAUGAAGGUUUUCGGAUUGUAAACUCCUUUUGUUAGAGAAGAUAAUGACGGUAUCUAACGAAUAAGCACCGGCUAACUCCGUGCCAGCAGCCGCGGUAAUACGGAGGGUGCAAGCGUUACUCGGAAUCACUGGGGGUAAAGGGCGCGUAGGCGGGAUAGCAAGUCAGAUGUGAAAUCCUAUGGCUUAACCAUGGAACUGCAUUUGAAAAUGUUAUUCUAGAGUAUGGGAGAGGUAGGUGGAAUGCUUGGUGUAGGGGUAAAAUCCGUAGAGAUCAAGAAGAAUACUCAUUGCGAAGGCGACCUGCUAGAACAUAACUGACGCUGAUGCGCGAAAGCGUGGGGAGCAAACAGGAUUAGAUACCCGGGUAGUC
This 440-nucleotide ribosomal RNA is filed under the name uncultured bacterium. RNAcentral's name for it is "partial 16S ribosomal RNA". It matches the Rfam family "Bacterial small subunit ribosomal RNA", at positions 338 to 795 of the family's 1533-position model. The record is from RNAcentral.